AUGACCACGAGAAGACUGCUUGAACUACUUAAUAUGGAUCUUUUCAGUCCCAACGCCUACAAGAGUCUCGAUGGUAACUCGUUCGGUUUGGUCAUUGUUGAUGGCUUUUCAAGAUUUACGUGGGUGUUCUUUCCUGAUGGUAAAUCACAGGUCCAAAAGAUCUUCAAGAACUUCGCUAGGAAGGCCAAAAACCAAUUUGAAGUGAAGAUCAAGAAGGUUCGAAGCGACAACGGAACGGAGUUCAAGAACGCCAAUGUGGAUACCUUUCUUAACGAAGAAGGGAUUGCACAUGAGUUCUCGGCUACGUACACACCUCAACAAAAUGGAGUUGUUGAGAGGAAGAACUGGGCACUUAUUGAGAUGGCAAGAAUGAUGCUUGAUGAAUACAAGACGCCAAAACGUUUUUGGGCGGAAAUAGUUGAGACAGCUUGUCAUGCUACGAAUAGACUAUAUCUUCACAAGCUUCUCGGCAAGACGGCAUACGAACUUCUCACCGGUUUCCUACUCGGCUAUGGCUCAAACUCUCACACUUACCGUGUCUACAACAAUUUCACCCGAAAGGUUGAGAGACGGUAG
Molecule: ribosomal RNA, 576 nt
Filed under: Triticum aestivum (bread wheat)
Lineage: Eukaryota; Viridiplantae; Streptophyta; Magnoliopsida; Poales; Poaceae
Description: partial small subunit ribosomal RNA
Source: RNAcentral